GGCCGCCUGGCGAAAUGGUAUCGCGUCUGACUACGAUUUGUAUCAAUCAGGAGAUUGCAGGUUCGAGCCCUGCGGUGGUCA
This 81-nucleotide transfer RNA is filed under the name Rhizoctonia solani AG-1 IB. It matches the Rfam family "tRNA". From Rfam's summary of the family: Transfer RNA (tRNA) molecules are approximately 80 nucleotides in length. The record is from Rfam by way of RNAcentral. Lineage: Eukaryota; Fungi; Basidiomycota; Agaricomycetes; Cantharellales; Ceratobasidiaceae.